RNAcentral lists this ribosomal RNA (253 nucleotides) under uncultured bacterium. RNAcentral's name for it is "partial 16S ribosomal RNA". It matches the Rfam family "Bacterial small subunit ribosomal RNA", at positions 524 to 776 of the family's 1533-position model. The record is from RNAcentral.
UACGUAGGGUGCAAGCGUUGUUCGGAAUUACUGGGCGUAAAGAGCGUGUAGGCGGCCAACUAAGUCCUGCGUGAAAUCUCGGGGCUCAACCCCGAGCGGUCGUGGGAAACUGGUUGGCUAGAGUGCGGGAGAGGAGAGUGGAAUUCCUGGUGUAGCGGUGAAAUGCGCAGAUAUCAGGAAGAACACCCGUGGCGAAGGCGGCUCUCUGGAACGCAACUGACGCUGAGACGCGAAAGCGUGGGGAGCGAACAGG